CCUACGGGAGGCAGCAGUGAGGAAUAUUGGUCAAUGGCCGAGAGGCUGAACCAGCCAAGUCGCGUGAAGGAAGACGGCCCUACGGGUUGUAAACCUCUUUUGUCCGGGAGCAAACCGAGUCACGUGUGACUCAUUGAGAGUACCCUAAGAAAAAGCAUCGGCUAACUCCGUGCCAGCAGCCGCGGUAAUACGGAGGAUGCAAGCGUUAUCCUGAUUUAUUGGGUUUAAAGGGUGCGCAGGCGGAGGAGCAAGUCAGCGGUCAAAUUCCGGGGCUCAACCCCGUACUGCCGUUGAAACUGCAUCCCUUGAGUGCGCGAGAAGUAUGCGGAAUGCGUGGUGUAGCGGUGAAAUGCAUAGAUAUCACGCAGAACUCCGAUUGCGAAGGCAGCAUACCGAGGUGCAACUGACGCUGAUGCACGAAAGCGUGGGUAUCGAACAGGAUUAGAUACCCUUGUAGUC
RNAcentral lists this ribosomal RNA (459 nucleotides) under uncultured bacterium. RNAcentral's name for it is "partial 16S ribosomal RNA". It matches the Rfam family "Bacterial small subunit ribosomal RNA", at positions 338 to 795 of the family's 1533-position model. The record is from RNAcentral.